RNAcentral lists this long non-coding RNA (233 nucleotides) under Pan paniscus (pygmy chimpanzee). RNAcentral describes it as "lncRNA (ENSPPAG00000045168.1)". The record is from RNAcentral. Lineage: Eukaryota; Metazoa; Chordata; Mammalia; Primates; Hominidae.
AUGCUAAGCAAGUAGGGUUAAUUUCUGCUGACUAUUUCUACUCUGUGGUGCUCUUUUGUUGUUUCAGUAACCAGAACACAUGAUGUUUUAAAGAAGGCAAGGACUAACCUAGAGAGCAGCACUUACAGGAUUGCCUCUGUAAAGCCUUAUUCCUGUCCCAGAAAAGGUGAAAUCCCUAAGGGCUCUGCCGUGUACUCCAGCCUUGUGACCCUUGCCUUCCAGGAACCAUGCAA